AAUCCUCUUUCUUUCCUUUCCUUUCCUCUCUCUUCUUUCUCCAUCUCCUCACCAUUUUCUUUCUGGAACUCUCCCCUUUCUUCCUGUCAAACCCUUUUUCUUGGUGAGAUUGAGACAAAAUCAGAUCAAUCCCUUGUAUCUGGGUCAGAUGAUAAGCAGUUUGUUUCUGUUAAAUGUAAAGCCAAACACGGAGGGCUAAAUGAUAAGCUUUUCUUCUCUGGUUCUAUUCAGUUUAAUUUUGAAGGGAUGUAUGAUAGAGUUAAAUUCAUCAGUCUUGUCCAAAAGACUGGUAUGUAUGUAAUCCUCAGGAGCGGACCAUUCAUUGAAGCCGAAUGGAACUUCAGAGGAUUACCAUACUGGCUUUAAGAGAUUUCGGGAAUGACAUUCCGUUCAGGCGAAGACAACUUCAAGGACCCAAAUUUAUCAUUUUUGGAGUGAAGAACCAGAUCUGGUAUUAGAUAAGUUCGAUCAGAGGAACCUUAAUCCCAUUCAAUCCCUGUAAAUACUACCACCAUUACUGAUCCAUUACCAACUUGCCAAGAUGAACAAAAAGGGACAGAAUGUUGGUCUUUACAUCCCUAGGUCUAAAGAAGGUUAACAAGGACAAGAGUUUCAUGCCUUUCUAGAGGAUGAAGCCUGGUUCAAUCUGAGAGUGUCAAUUGGCAGCUGCAGAUCAAUUGCUUUCUUAUUUGAGUGGCCAGUUCUGAUGCGGGAGAGGGUGAAUAAGUAUGUUAUGCUGAACCCCCCAACAAAAUUUCUUUGGGUAGUUGGUGGUACUAUAUGGUGCUUCUUUCAGUAAAUUCAGGGUUUAAGCAGUGGCCUGAAGGGAUGUUUUGUGUAGAGGUGGUGUGGCUGACCCUCUCACGAGGGAGCACAAUGCUCGACAAGAAGAUGAGCAGAACAGAAAAUGUAGCAAGACAUGGGAAGACAACUUUGCAGCGUAUGAGAACCAGUAUUUAAUUCAAGAAGAUUUACAGAGCUGGAGUUAUAAUACAUACAGUUGCUACCUAAGGGGACAGAGGGACUGUCAUUAGGGAAACUUAGCAGGUAUAGAUCCAGAUCCCGACUCUCAAUUGCUACCAAUCCGAAAAUGCAGUCUAGGUCUGGCAUAUCCUCCGAGUCUCUUAGAAUAUUAGUCAGCUUUUAUUUUUGAUGUACAUCGACUUCGUUGUAUGCGAGCACAACACAGAAAUAUGUUCCAAGUAUUUUGAUGUCUUGUUUGUGGAUGGAUUCUUUAGUUGGUGUUUUGGAUAUUUUCAGUAUUCAUGAUAUUUAAAUAUUAUUUUCA
Papaver somniferum (opium poppy) is the source of this 1288-nucleotide long non-coding RNA. RefSeq lists it as uncharacterized. The transcript has 8 exons. The record is from RefSeq and is a predicted model, not a curated record. Lineage: Eukaryota; Viridiplantae; Streptophyta; Magnoliopsida; Ranunculales; Papaveraceae.